This 401-nucleotide ribosomal RNA is filed under the name bacterium 4746K8-B1. RNAcentral describes it as "bacterial SSU rRNA". It matches the Rfam family "Bacterial small subunit ribosomal RNA", at positions 1 to 410 of the family's 1533-position model. The record is from RNAcentral.
UAGAGUUUGAUCCUGGCUCAGAUUGAACGCUGGCGGCAGGCCUAACACAUGCAAGUCGAGCGGUAACAGAAAGUAGCUUGCUACUUUGCUGACGAGCGGCGGACGGGUGAGUAAUGCUUGGGAACAUGCCUUGAGGUGGGGGACAACAGUUGGAAACGACUGCUAAUACCGCAUAAUGUCUACGGACCAAAGGGGGCUUCGGCUCUCGCCUUUAGAUUGGCCCAAGUGGGAUUAGCUAGUUGGUGAGGUAAUGGCUCACCAAGGCGACGAUCCCUAGCUGGUUUGAGAGGAUGAUCAGCCACACUGGGACUGAGACACGGCCCAGACUCCUACGGGAGGCAGCAGUGGGGAAUAUUGCACAAUGGGCGCAAGCCUGAUGCAGCCAUGCCGCGUGUGUGAAG